Long non-coding RNA from Triticum aestivum (bread wheat), 4672 nucleotides. RefSeq lists it as uncharacterized. NCBI's taxonomy places the organism in Eukaryota, Viridiplantae, Streptophyta, Magnoliopsida, Poales, Poaceae. The record is from RefSeq and is a predicted model, not a curated record. The transcript has 7 exons.
CAGCGUGUCUCGCCCUUAUCCUGCGUGCGAAAAGACCAGCUCUCACGGUGAAACCCUAGACCAAUCGGCCGCCCCUUCGAGCCACCAAUCGCUCGCCCCUCGAGCCCCGCGCCCCUCUUCCCAUUCUCUCCAUCACCUACACCGCCUCUUCCUCUCCUCCUCUACAACAGUGCGUGGUCGCCACCGCCGCUCGUCUCUUUCUUCGCGCCCUUUCUCCUUCAAGGCUCCUCUCUCGCGUCCGUCCCGGUGGUGGCGACCUACAGGCGAAGGGCAGUGGCGGCGGCGGCGUUUGAUUCGAUGCAGCGCCAUGGGUCAAUCAUUGCAGGAGAGAGAGAUGAGAGGGAGAGAGAGAGAAGAAAGGAGAGGAGGGAGAAAGAGAGAGGAAAGAGGAUGGAGGUGCAUCGGCUGAUGGGACAGGGUCACACGCCGGCGAGUCGGGUGAGAUCUGGCGGUUGGCGGCGGCUCGAUCCGCUCCUGGAUCGGGAGCUGCGAGGAGUCCCUGUAGGAGAGAGAGGGUGAGAGGGAGAGAGAGAAGGAAGGGGAGGAGGGAGAAAGAGAGAGGAAGGAGGAGAUGGAGGUGCGUUGGUUGAUGGGACAACUAGGCAUCUAGGUUUGGGUGGGGUUGGAUUCCUACAACAAUGGAGGCACCGGCCAACAGCUACAUGUUCCUCGGAUUUUGCAACCAAGUGUCGAGUUGUGUUGUUGUACCAAAGAUACUGUAUAAAGAUGUGCCAUGUUGUUCCUCGCCAGGCGAGCUCACACCUUGUCCCCUCAGUAUAUCCCUUAUUUUCUUUUUGAAAUUUGAGCUAUACUUUGGUCCGAUCUGUUAUAUGAGGCAGUCUACACACUACCUGAAGAUGGUCUACCGGGUAACUGUGUGGUGCAUGGCUUACCAGAUUAUAUCUGCAGCCAAUUACCAGAGUUUUUCUGUGGUUUUUGCACAUGCUCUAACCAGUGAGGGUGCCUGAGAUCCAACAAAGGCCUCUGGAGUGACUCCUUAAUUAUGAAAAUCAUAAAUAGCAUAGAAUCGUCUGCACUAAGGGAUAUCGUGCAAGUAUCUGAUAUAAAGAAAGCAAUUACAGGCUCCAUAAGAUUGUGUGCGCUCAAGGCAAGAUUAUGAAAUAUCUGAUCCGUGAGCUCUCAUUUGCGCUGUCCCGGCUUCUUUCAGCCGUCAGAUGAUCGAUUUCUUCCAAUGGAUAAAGCUACUGAGUCCAAUAAAAGUUAUAACCUUGCUGGAAAUGUAUAGGGGCAGUAUAACACAUGGCAACAUUAAUCGAUGAAUAGAGUUUUGCCUGAGCCAGGUAUUCCUCUCUUUGUAUUUUUUUAUACCAGAUAUUACAUGUGCUACCUGUGAUGGCAAGGUUAAAUUUGGUACUAUCCCGAUCGAAGGUACAUGUCCUUAGUGAUUUACUCUGCUUCCUGGACUUGAACUCUUAUCUUAUAUUAUCUUAUAUUUAUGAGAGUGCUCAUAUUUACAUCUACAUGGUCUCUUCAAAGCAAAAAGGCCUUACCGCUCCCUUCUAAGCCCAUUUAUUUAUUGAUAAGUGCCGCAGUUUUUGUAUCUAUUUCAGUUAUUUGUAUUAUUUGUGUCACAAUGCCUUUUCUUCAUAUGCAUAACAUUUUGCAUAAUUUCCUUCAUUAUGUCUGUAAUGCAAGUGUUUGCGCUCUUUUAUUCAUUUUGUAUUAGGCAAUGCGCAUUGUAGCAGAAUUGAUCUAUCCCAAUGUUUGCGCUCUUUUGCAAGUAUUGUUUCUGCACUAAAGAAAGAAAUAUUUGCUCAUAAACUUGGGUCUUUGGUACUAUUCUGUAAAAGUAGAUAACUGAUUUUAGGGGCUACGCACAUUUAGUGUUCUUGCUCCUUUCCGAGUCCAAAAAAGCUCAUUUUCCACAUGUCUAAAUUUUCGAUAAACAUGCGAAAAUUGGUUUGCUCCCUUUCCUCACUAGAAGCAUAUGGUAUGGUUUGUUGUGUAUCGUCGAAAUAAUUUUGGUUGAUGACGAUAUCCUGUCACUCACUCAGCCGGUCUGAUUGUUUGCACUGAUACUCUCUUGGGUUUCACCCAUUUUGUUAAUAUUUGAGCCAUGAUACAUCCCUCUUGAUCUUCUCUAGAAAGGAAUUCAGUCUGUGAAGAUUUUAAUAGGUGUUCAGGUCGUUAUCGAGGUUAAUUAGAAAUGGAUACCAUCAAAGGUUUAUAGUUCAGUAAUUACUUUAAAAUUUUAUUUAUGGUGUAGAAACAACAGAAUUGUUCAGGUGUAAAACUUUUGCUCAAUGGCUGAACCUGAAGAAAUGCUACUCGUACUAUUGUUCAUCAGAGUCAGAGACCAUGCAUUUUGGUUCAAUUUCCUUAUAUGCGUUUGAGUUACUUUCUCACCACCUGACUUAAUCGUAACAACUAUACAUAUACAACUAUGCAUAUACAGUUAGAGGUAUGCUACUCCAAACAUAUGUUCAUUUUUGGUUUAGAUUUUGUAGAUUGAACUAACGCGAUACGAAAAUUAUCCGUCACCCCAAAGGUUCCUCCCUGUUGGUUUCGGGAUUAGUAUUUUGAUCUCUGUUUGAAAAAGGACAAGAACAGACUCACUAAAACCAUCAGGUUCCUCCCUGUUGGUUUCAACAUCAGUAUUUUGAUCUCUGUUUGAAAACUAUUAGAAAAGGACAGAUAAGAACACGUUUUUUUGGUGUGCAAGAGAGUAGUCAUAGUUAGAAGAUUAGAUUCUUCAUGUCUUACAUAUAUCUUCUUCUGUAAACAAUGUUCCAUAAUUUCUGGAUUUGUUGUAGGUUCAAAGAUGAAAAUCUACCUGAUAUAUUGUUCUUGGGAUUAAGUAUUGUAGCGAUAUAUCCGAGAAUUUGAAUGACCUAUCUGCUACCAGGUUGCUAUACUUACCACAAAUUGAAUAUUUUGUGUGCUUAUGCUCUUACUGCAGCUACAUAUUGCAUUGUACAUACAUACAAAUUAUUGAUCUUAUUUUCAAAUAUUAUUCCUCAGUGUUAAGCUGCAGGCUGAGUUCCGAUUGUUCUUUUGCCAGAAACAGGUAAUGCCAUAGCCGAAGCACAGUAGAGUACAAAUUUCACAAAGAAGGUCAUGUAAUAUUUUGCUUAGGUUCAUUCAAAUAUCUAGAGUUGACAUGCAUAUGUCGCUUUCAUGUGCACAUGUUGUUAGUUUUGUAUUUGCAACUAGCUCUAUAAUUUGUUAAGUGGUUGUUGCACUUGCUUCUUUGUACACUUGUGUAAAAUGUUUUGUUUUCAAUAUAUCCCAUUGAGCAAAUAAAAGUUGUCUUUAUUUUGUGUUUGCUUCGCUUCUCUAAAGUUUUGUUACUGUUGCAGGAGAGACGUGAGGGUUAGUUGCAUUCAUGUUGCUCCAUUGCUUGAGAUGGAUCCAUUUGAUUGAGGUGCCAUGCUGGAAAGAGAAUAUCUUUGUGUUUGUGUUACAGAAAGCAUGGCUGGCCUCUGUAUUUAUUUUUUAAGGUUGGCACACUACUUCUGUUAACCUGUAAGAAAAUCUCUACUAUAAAAGGAGCUAGGCUACCCGCCAUUCUGGGGCCUCUCCCGUGCGCACACAUAUUGGCCAUCUGAUUAGAGGUUGGAUGAUUUUUCACCGUUGGAUUUUACUGUUUGAUGUAAAGUUUAGUUACCACAAUGUUUUUUUAUCAAGUGCCUGUUACUCGACCCAUAUGAUCCUUGGCCCACGAGGCAGCGAAGGGUUGGUCAGCCCAGUCCGCGACCAAAACGCUCGGAGUGAAAACCCUAGACCAGGAGCGGUAAAAAAGAGACCCCCUCCUCCUCGUUCCUUCCACCCCUCGAUGCAGUGCACGCCGCAGUAGCCAGGACAAACUACAUCAAUGGUGAUUAGGAACUAAAUCGACAAGCAUCGAUAUUUUUGUUAGGAAGGUGCGCUAGGAGCCUAGGAGUGGAACAUGACUUCCUCGAAUCUAGCCGAGAUAAAAUGUGAUGUUGUCCUGUUGAGAUUAAACGGAUGACUAGGGAAGCGUCACACUAUCAGACGAAGUGCGUGUUACAUCAAACAAAAUCCAUAAUCGAGCUACAUUGGACCCUACUGCUUUAAUCACUAUCUGUGAUAUCAAAUAGACUCUUCUGGAAAUUCAUGAUGUUGUGGUUGCGCUUCAAAGCGUGACUAGCGUGGCAUGUCUCAUUGCAGAAGAAAGGCAUAUGAUCCAGACUCAGAUUCAAGCUGCAUUGAGGGUUAUGUUGGAGACAUGGAUGAUGGCUUAAACCACUAUGUGCGAUUGUAGGCUGCGGCGGAGACAGGCCCCAGGCAGCCCGAGUGGAUGCCUGGGGUAUAAGGCUGAUUCCCUUUGUAUACUGUAGAGAGCACUGCAGUGCUGGAAGGCUUCCUAGGCCGGCCGGGGGUGUGGCUGAAUCCUGGCGCCGCCACUGACCAUAAGCAUGCCUGCUUAGACGACGAAAUUAUGUUCGAUACUGCUCGGACAAGUAGCGAUGACUCUACCUAAUACCACCACCUUCUCGCGUCUUGGUCCUUGCUGCGAGAAAGACAAUGCAUCUCUGGCCUUUGCUAAUAUAGCUUACUUUUAUAAAGCCAAUGUAUGACAUUAUCAAGUGAUCUGAAUAUCUUCUUUUAAGCUACCAAGUACCAUGUAAUGGAACAUAAAUAUCUAUUAAGUUAGUUCUAAAUCAAUCUCAUAUGCAUUGUUUGAAUA